Molecule: ribosomal RNA, 496 nt
Filed under: uncultured bacterium
Lineage: Bacteria
Description: partial 16S ribosomal RNA
Rfam family: Bacterial small subunit ribosomal RNA
Source: RNAcentral
GAUGAACGCUGGCGGCGUGCCUAAUACAUGCGAGUCGAGCGAACGGACGAGAAGCUUGCUUCUCUGAUGUUAGCGGCGGACGGGUGAGUAACACGUGGAUAACCUACCUAUAAGACUGGGAUAACUUCGGGAAACCGGAGCUAAUACCGGAUAAUAUUUUGAACCGCAUGGUUCAAAAGUGAAAGACGGUCUUGCUGUCACUUAUAGAUGGAUCCGCGCUGCAUUAGCUAGUUGGUAAGGUAACGGCUUACCAAGGCAACGAUGCAUAGCCGACCUGAGAGGGUGAUCGGCCACACUGGAACUGAGACACGGUCCAGACUCCUACGGGAGGCAGCAGUAGGGAAUCUUCCGCAAUGGGCGAAAGCCUGACGGAGCAACGCCGCGUGAGUGAUGAAGGUCUUCGGAUCGUAAAACUCUGUUAUUAGGGAAGAACAUAUGUGUAAGUAACUGUGCACAUCUGGACGGUACCUAAUCAGAAAGCCACGGCUAACUACGU